UCCAACCAAACCAGGUUUUUAUUGUAUACCUGCCACAUUCAACUACAAAGACCAGAACCGGUCCAGAACGGCAAAGCUCAGGGCUACCACCCAUACAGAUGAGACCUUCAUUCUUAAGAUGGAAAACUCUUGGAGACAGCUAGUAGAAGGCAGAUGUCUGAUCCAGUCGCAUAUGG
This is a long non-coding RNA of Chelonia mydas (Green sea turtle), 176 nucleotides long. RefSeq lists it as uncharacterized. The transcript is spliced from 3 exons. The record is from RefSeq and is a predicted model, not a curated record. NCBI's taxonomy places the organism in Eukaryota, Metazoa, Chordata, Testudines, Cheloniidae.